RNAcentral lists this ribosomal RNA (253 nucleotides) under uncultured bacterium. Its description in RNAcentral is "partial 16S ribosomal RNA". It matches the Rfam family "Bacterial small subunit ribosomal RNA", at positions 524 to 776 of the family's 1533-position model. The record is from RNAcentral.
UACGGAGGGGGCUAGCGUUGUUCGGAAUUACUGGGCGUAAAGCGCACUUAGGCGGGCUGGAAAGUCAGGGGUGAAAUCCCGGGGCUCAACCCCGGAACUGCCUUUGAAACUUCCAGUCUUGAGGUCGAGAGAGGUGGGUGGAAUUCCGAGUGUAGAGGUGAAAUUCGUAGAUAUUCGGAGGAACACCGGUGGCGAAGGCGGCCCACGGGCUCGAUACUGACGAUGAGGUGCGAAAGCGUGGGGAGCAAACAGG